UACGUAGGGGGCAAGCGUUGUCCGGAUUUACUGGGCGUAAAAGGUUCGUAGGUGGCUCGCCCAGUCGGGCGUGAAAUCUCCUGGCUCAACUAGGAGAGGUCGUCCGAUACUAGCGGGCUCGAGGCCGGUAGAGGGAAGCGGAAUUCCGGGUGUAGUGGUGGAAUACGUAGAUAUCCGGAGGAACACCAGUGGCGAAGGCGGCUUCCUGGACCGGUUCUGACACUGAGGAACGAAAGCGUGGGGAGCGAUCCGG
Molecule: ribosomal RNA, 253 nt
Filed under: uncultured bacterium
Lineage: Bacteria
Description: partial 16S ribosomal RNA
Rfam family: Bacterial small subunit ribosomal RNA
Source: RNAcentral